RNAcentral lists this ribosomal RNA (400 nucleotides) under uncultured Clostridium sp. RNAcentral describes it as "bacterial SSU rRNA". It matches the Rfam family "Bacterial small subunit ribosomal RNA", at positions 355 to 769 of the family's 1533-position model. Lineage: Bacteria; Bacillati; Bacillota; Clostridia; Eubacteriales; Clostridiaceae. The record is from RNAcentral.
UGGGGAAUAUUGGGCAAUGGGGGGCAACCCUGACCCAGCAACGCCGCGUGAAGGAAGAAGGCUUUCGGGUUGUAAACUUCUUUUACCAGGGACGAAGACGUGACGGUACCUGGAGAAUAAGCCACGGCUAACUACGUGCCAGCAGCCGCGGUAAUACGUAGGUGGCAAGCGUUGUCCGGAUUUACUGGGUGUAAAGGGCGCGUAGGCGGGAUAGCAAGUCAGGAGUGAAAUCUAUGGGCUUAACCCAUAAACUGCUUUUGAAACUGUUAUUCUUGAGUAUCGGAGAGGCAGGCGGAAUUCCUAGUGUAGCGGUGAAAUGCGUAGAUAUUAGGAGGAACACCAGUGGCGAAGGCGGCCUGCUGGACGACAACUGACGCUGAGGCGCGAAAGCGUGGGGAGC